GACGAACGCUGGCGGCGUGCUUAACACAUGCAAGUCGAGCGGUAAGGCCCUUUCGGGGGUACGACGAGCGGCGAACGGGUGAGUAACACGUGGGUGACCUGCCCUCCAGCUCUGGGAGUAAGCCCGGGAAACCGUGGGUCUAAUACUGGAUAUGACUCCAUGACGCAUGUUGUGGGGUGGAAAGCCUUGUGCGGCUGAGGAUGGGCCCGCGGCCUAUCAGCUUGUUGGG
This 229-nucleotide ribosomal RNA is filed under the name uncultured bacterium. RNAcentral's name for it is "partial 16S ribosomal RNA". It matches the Rfam family "Bacterial small subunit ribosomal RNA", at positions 28 to 253 of the family's 1533-position model. The record is from RNAcentral.